AAAAUACUCCCUCCGUCCGGAAAUACUUGUCAUCAAAAUGAAUAAAAGGGGAUGUAUCUAAAUGUAUUUUAGUUCUAGAUACAUUCUUUUUUUCCAUUUUAAUGACAAGUAUUUGCGGACGGAGGGUGUAGAUA
Non-coding RNA from Triticum urartu, 134 nucleotides. NCBI's taxonomy places the organism in Eukaryota, Viridiplantae, Streptophyta, Magnoliopsida, Poales, Poaceae. The record is from Rfam.